This is a microRNA precursor of Ooceraea biroi (clonal raider ant), 71 nucleotides long. It matches the Rfam family "mir-10 microRNA precursor family". Rfam says of the family: In this case the mature sequence comes from the 5' arm of the precursor. The extents of the hairpin precursors are not generally known and are estimated based on hairpin prediction. The products are thought to have regulatory roles through complementarity to mRNA. The record is from Rfam. NCBI's taxonomy places the organism in Eukaryota, Metazoa, Arthropoda, Insecta, Hymenoptera, Formicidae.
UUACAUCUACCCUGUAGAUCCGAAUUUGUUUGAUAAGAGGCGACAAAUUCGGUUCUAGAGAGGUUUGUGUG